CCGCGUGGNGGAUGACGGCCUUCGGGUUCNAAACCUCUUUCAGCAGGGACGAAGCGCAAGUGACGGUACCUGCAGAAGAAGCACCGGCCAACUACGUGCCAGCAGCCGCGGUAAUACGUAGGGUGCAAGCGUUGUCCGGAAUUAUUGGGCGUAAAGAGCUCGUAGGCGGUUCGUCGCGUCGGCUGUGAAAUCCCGAGGCUCAACCUCGGGUCUGCAGUCGAUACGGGCGGACUGGAGUUCGGCAGGGGAGACUGGAAUUCCUGGUGUAGCGGUGAAAUGCGCAGAUAUCAGGAGGAACACCGGUGGCGAAGGCGGGUCUCUGGGCCGAUACUGAUGCUGAGGAGCGAAAGCGUGGGGAGCGAACAGGAUUAGAUACCCUGGUAGUCCACGCCGUAAACGUUGGGCGCUAGGUGUGGGGGCCAUUCCACGGUCUCCGUGCCCGCAGCUAACGCAUUAAGCGCCCCGCCUGGNGAGUACGGCCGCAAGGCUUAAAACUCAAAAAAAUUGANGGA
RNAcentral lists this ribosomal RNA (512 nucleotides) under uncultured bacterium. RNAcentral's name for it is "bacterial SSU rRNA". It matches the Rfam family "Bacterial small subunit ribosomal RNA", at positions 397 to 917 of the family's 1533-position model. The record is from RNAcentral.